CAAUAGCGUAUAUUAAAGUUGUUGCAGUUAAGUAGCUCGUAGUUGGAUUUGUGGCGUACGGUGUGUUCCGGGCACUUGUUGUCUGAGUAACCUGCUGUUGCCAUCCUUGGGUGGAACCUGUGUGGCAUUAGGUUGUCGUGCAGGGGAUGCCCAUCAUUUACUGUGAAAAAAUUAGAGUGUUCAAAGCAGGCUUAUGCCGUUGAAUAUAUUAGCAUGGAAUAAUGAGAUAGGACUUUUUUGCUAUUUUGUUGGUUUGCGCAAAGAGGUAAUGAUUAAUAGGGACAGUUGGGGGUAUUCGUAUUCCAUUGUCAGAGGUGAAAUUCUUGGAUUUUUGGAAGACGAACUACUGCGAAAGCAUUUACCAAGGAUGUUUUCAUUAA
This 380-nucleotide ribosomal RNA is filed under the name uncultured eukaryote. RNAcentral describes it as "partial 18S ribosomal RNA". It matches the Rfam family "Eukaryotic small subunit ribosomal RNA", at positions 592 to 976 of the family's 1831-position model. The record is from RNAcentral.